UAUUUUGUGGGUUUCCUGAACUGGGGCUAUGAUUAAGAGGGACGGCCGGGGGCAUUCGAAUUGUCCGCUAGAGGUGAGAUUCUUGGACCGGUGC
RNAcentral lists this ribosomal RNA (94 nucleotides) under Acipenser ruthenus (sterlet). RNAcentral describes it as "partial ribosomal RNA". RNAcentral also lists the same sequence under 3 other names. Lineage: Eukaryota; Metazoa; Chordata; Actinopteri; Acipenseriformes; Acipenseridae. The record is from RNAcentral.